Molecule: transfer RNA, 73 nt
Filed under: Jaagichlorella hainangensis
Lineage: Eukaryota; Viridiplantae; Chlorophyta; Trebouxiophyceae; Watanabeales; Watanabeaceae
Description: tRNA-Met
Rfam family: tRNA
About the family: Transfer RNA (tRNA) molecules are approximately 80 nucleotides in length. Their secondary structure includes four short double-helical elements and three loops (D, anti-codon, and T loops).
Source: RNAcentral
GAGUUUAUAGUUUAAUUGGUAGAACACAUUGCUCAUAACGAUGCAGCUGUAGGUUCAAUUCCUACUAAACUCA